Non-coding RNA from Otolemur garnettii (small-eared galago), 298 nucleotides. Lineage: Eukaryota; Metazoa; Chordata; Mammalia; Primates; Galagidae. The record is from Rfam.
GCCACACGCACUGGCAUGCACCUAUAGUCCCAGCUACUAGGGAGGCUGAGAUAAGGAGGAUCAUUUGAGUCCAGGAGUUCUGGGCUGUAUUGCACUAUGCCAAUCAGGUGUCCAAACUAAGUUCGGCAUUAAUAUUGUGACCUCCUGAGAGUGGGAGCCCACCAGGUUGCCUAAGGAGGGGUGAACCGGCCCAGGUCAGAAAUGGAGGUCAAAACUCCCAUGCUGAUCAGUAGUGAGAGUGCACCUGUCAAUAGUCACUGCACUCCAGCCCGGGCAACAUAGUGAGACCCUGCCUCUU